GAUGAACGCUGGCGGCGUGCCUAAUACAUGCAAGUCGAGCGAACAGACGAGGAUCUUGCUCCUCUGACGUUAGCGGCGGACGGGUGAGUAACACGUGGAUAACCUACCUAUAAUACUGGGAUAACUUCGGGAAACCGGAGCUAAUACCGGAUAAUAUAUUGAACCGCAUGGUUCAAUAGUGAAAGACGGUUUUGCUGUCACUUAUAGAUGGAUCCGCGCCGCAUUAGCUAGUUGGUAAGGUAACGGCUUACCAAGGCAACGAUGCGUAGCCGACCUGAGAGGGUGAUCGGCCACACUGGAACUGAGACACGGUCCAGACUCCUACGGGAGGCAGCAGUAGGGAAUCUUCCGCAAUGGGCGAAAGCUUGACGGAGCAACGCCGCGUGAGUGAUGAAGGUCUUCGGAUCGUAAAACUCUGUUAUUAGGGAAGAACAAAUGUGUAAGUAACUAUGCACGUCUUGACGGUACCUAAUCAGAAAGCCACGGCUAACUACGUG
Molecule: ribosomal RNA, 497 nt
Filed under: uncultured bacterium
Lineage: Bacteria
Description: partial 16S ribosomal RNA
Rfam family: Bacterial small subunit ribosomal RNA
Source: RNAcentral